CAGGAUUUGUAGGUCUGUAGAUGAUCUGAGUCAGAAUCAACAGCAUCAGAAGCUCGUGCUGCCCGGUGGCAGAUGGGUGGGUGGGGCCGAGACUGUGCUGCAGAACAGGUUGCAGCUGCUCCCUCAACUUUUACUGCCCUGGCUCUGCGUGGGUUGCGGGGGCCCAGCUCCUGUCCCCGGGGCACCUUAAAGGAACUUCAGGACCUCUGACUCCAAGUUCAAAGAUGGGAAAGCACAAGAUUUUCUGUGAGCGGAUUUGAUGCCUUCCAGCAAAACGAAAACAUGUUGAACAGUACCCCCAAUUCCCCUGGCUGGAUUUAUGUUCAAGACAAAGCUAUUUGCAAUAUUUCAGGUCAGUAUCACCUGGAGGCAAGAUUUCUUGACGCAACUAAGUGCUGGAGUCCCGGAAGUCCAAGGACAAAGCCCGCAU
Molecule: long non-coding RNA, 430 nt
Filed under: Marmota marmota marmota (Alpine marmot)
Lineage: Eukaryota; Metazoa; Chordata; Mammalia; Rodentia; Sciuridae
Description: lncRNA (ENSMMMG00000012700.1)
Source: RNAcentral